This 497-nucleotide ribosomal RNA is filed under the name uncultured bacterium. RNAcentral describes it as "partial 16S ribosomal RNA". It matches the Rfam family "Bacterial small subunit ribosomal RNA", at positions 28 to 507 of the family's 1533-position model. The record is from RNAcentral.
GAUGAACGCUGGCGGCGUGCCUAAUACAUGCAAGUCGAGCGAACAGAUAAGGAGCUUGCUCCUUUGACGUUAGCGGCGGACGGGUGAGUAACACGUGGAUAACCUACCUGUAAGACUGGGAUAACUUCGGGAAACCGGAGCUAAUACCGGAUAACAUAUUGAACCGCAUGGUUCAAUAGUGAAAGGCGGCUUUGCUGUCACUUAUAGAUGGAUCCGCGCCGUAUUAGCUAGUUGGUAAGGUAACGGCUUACCAAGGCAACGAUACGUAGCCGACCUGAGAGGGUGAUCGGCCACACUGGAACUGAGACACGGUCCAGACUCCUACGGGAGGCAGCAGUAGGGAAUCUUCCGCAAUGGGCGAAAGCCUGACGGAGCAACGCCGCGUGAGUGAUGAAGGUCUUCGGAUCGUAAAACUCUGUUAUCAGGGAAGAACAAAUGUGUAAGUAACUGUGCACAUCUUGACGGUACCUGAUCAGAAAGCCACGGCUAACUACGUG